CCUACGGGUGGCAGCAGUGAGGAAUAUUGGUCAAUGGACGCGAGCCUGAACCAGCCAAGCAGCGUGAAGGAAGACUGCCCUACGGGUUGUAAACUUCUUUUAUAAAGGGAUAAAGUUAGGCACGUGUGCCUUGCUGUAUGUACUUUACGAAUAAGGAUCGGCUAACUCCGUGCCAGCAGCCGCGGUAAUACGGAGGAUCCAAGCGUUAUCCGGAUUUAUUGGGUUUAAAGGGAGCGUAGAUGGGUUGUUAAGUCAGAUGUGAAAGUUUGGGGCUUAACCGUAGAAUUGCAAUUGAUACUGGCAGCCUUGAGUACAGUUGAGGUAGGCGGAA
RNAcentral lists this ribosomal RNA (331 nucleotides) under uncultured bacterium. RNAcentral describes it as "partial 16S ribosomal RNA". It matches the Rfam family "Bacterial small subunit ribosomal RNA", at positions 338 to 666 of the family's 1533-position model. The record is from RNAcentral.